This 426-nucleotide ribosomal RNA is filed under the name Euoniticellus intermedius. RNAcentral's name for it is "partial 16S ribosomal RNA". The record is from RNAcentral. Lineage: Eukaryota; Metazoa; Arthropoda; Insecta; Coleoptera; Scarabaeidae.
CAUGUCUUUUUGAUUAUAAUUUAAAGUCUGACCUGCUCUAUGAUUAAUUUAAAUGGCCGCGAUAUUUUGAUCGUGCAAAGGUAGCAUAAUCAUUAGUUUCUUAAUUAGGAACUGGAAUGAAAGGUUGAACGAAAAAAUUACUGUCUCAAUUUAAUUGGAUUAGAAUUUUAUUUUUAAGUAAAAAAGCUUAAAUGUAUUUAAAAGACGAGAAGACCCUAUAGAGUUUUAUAAUUAAUUUAUAGUAUUUAAAAUUUAGUAUUUUUUUUAUUUAUUUUAGAUUGAUUAUUUGGUUGGGGUGAUUAAAAAAUUUAAAAAACUUUUUUUAUUUAAAACAUUGAUUUAUGAAUAUAUGAUCCAUUAUUAAUGAUUAUUAGAUAAAAUUACCUUAGGGAUAACAGCGUAAUUUUUUUUAAGAGUUCAUAUCGA